CAGUGUUUUGCCACAAUCUGCUCAGUUGUAACAAAUCCCGGUUUUGGAGUUUAUAUUUUCUAUAGGACAAUACGUGACUUCUGGAACAAUUUACUCUGCCCCCACGAAGUAUUUGCUAAGGAAGACAAUCCCUGUGGAGCUGAUAGCUGUGGACUAAUGACUGGUAUACCAAGCAGAUAAGCUGUGGACAUUUUUCAGUGUUAACAUAAUGACUUUCAUCAAAGGAGGAAGAAGUCUACUUAUUUUUCAUUUUGUUAAGCAAGUGGAGAAACUCCUCCAGACGUAGUCGCUGCAGAAGCCUGGGGUCAGUGCACAGCUCGCUGCCUGCGGGAACCACCUUCUUUACAGGCUUCUGAAAAAUAAGCACAUUGCUCAGCCAUGUUAGGUCUUUCAUGUUGCGUGCUCCACACUAAAGAAAUAAGCUAGCAUUGUGAAAGAGACUGCCUGGUGACCGUCCCACCAUCUCUGUUGCUCACAGGAAACCACUACUGCUGCACUUGGGACAACACUGAUUCUUCUGUGUCUGAAGUUGUGGCUUCAAAUUGCAGUAAAGCUGAUAAAAUAACCAGCUGCUGUGAAAAGAAGUGUCCUCAUACUUCCCCUCUUGCAUGUAAUCUCCCUUGUGCUAGCUGUGGUCUGUGCCUGGUCCCAUGGUAAACUGGUGCAGGGAGAUGGCCAGCAACAUGCCACCCUCCUCAAAGAAGUAGUUCUCAGUGUGGAGUUGUCUUAGUCAAGUUUGUCAUUAAACAGCAGCAAGCACAAGAAACUACUGAGCAUUUUUUUCACAUGUGCAGGAAAAGAUUGAGGUUGUUUUAUUAUUUUACAAACCAAAAGAUCCAAAAUACCCCGUAUGGUAUUUUAUUACAUUAUCUCUUAUUCCUUGGAACCUAUCAUAGAAGGCCUCAUAUUAAAUAAAUAAAUAAAUAAAUAAAUAAAUAAAUAAAUAAAUAAAUAAAGGGAAUAUAGCAAACAAACCAAACCAGUAGGCUAGGAGCUGGAAAACAAAACCAUCUAAAUAUAAAUAAAUUGUGGAC
This 1034-nucleotide long non-coding RNA is filed under the name Gallus gallus (chicken). The record is from RNAcentral. Lineage: Eukaryota; Metazoa; Chordata; Aves; Galliformes; Phasianidae.